This 374-nucleotide transfer-messenger RNA is filed under the name Chitinophagaceae. RNAcentral describes it as "AWTP1-9 sp003963365 Standard tmRNA". It matches the Rfam family "transfer-messenger RNA". From Rfam's summary of the family: Bacterial tmRNA, also known as 10Sa RNA or SsrA, is named for its dual tRNA and mRNA-like properties. Its role is to liberate the mRNA from a stalled ribosome. Lineage: Bacteria; Pseudomonadati; Bacteroidota; Chitinophagia; Chitinophagales. RNAcentral also lists the same sequence under 1 other name. The record is from RNAcentral.
GGGGCUGUUCUGGCUUUGACAGCAUAGAUCUUUGAAAGUGUAAGCAUGCCCUGCGUUGCGUAAUUAGCAGGAUAAUCUGAAUACGAAAACUUUAAAUGGCAAUACUCAGUAUGCCAUGGCUGCCUAAUCAGUGAUUAAGUAGUCAUUAGGGCCGCCGAACAGGUUGAUCUGUUACCAUGUUCCGCCGCCGACUAAAAAACAAAACAGGUUGCUGCAACAACAGGCUGUGACGGUUGCUUAAGAUGUAUCCAGCUACGGAAAUAAUUGGUUUGUUUGGUUCCGGUUAUUUCCCGACAAUUAAUUCCAAAAUAAGCAUGUAGAAAGCUUUUGGAGAAUAUGUUUGGACCAGGGUUCGACUCCCUGCAGCUCCACCU